RNAcentral lists this ribosomal RNA (241 nucleotides) under uncultured bacterium. RNAcentral describes it as "partial 16S ribosomal RNA". It matches the Rfam family "Bacterial small subunit ribosomal RNA", at positions 109 to 334 of the family's 1533-position model. The record is from RNAcentral.
AGUAACGCGUAGGUAAUCUAUCCUUAUAUUUGGGAUAACAGACCGAAAGGUCUGCUAAUACCGGAUACCCUUUUAGAUAUGCGAGUAUUUAGGAGGAAAGGUGGCCUCUUCAUGAAAGCUACCGUAUAGGGAUGAGCCUGCGUACCAUUAGCUAGUAGGUGGGGUAACGGCCCACCUAGGCUACGAUGGUUAGCGGGUCUGAGAGGAUGAUCCGCCACACUGGAACUGGAACACGGACCAG